RNAcentral lists this transfer RNA (66 nucleotides) under Cicindela puritana. RNAcentral's name for it is "tRNA-Pro". The record is from RNAcentral. Lineage: Eukaryota; Metazoa; Arthropoda; Insecta; Coleoptera; Carabidae.
CAGGGGGUAGUUUAAUAAAAAUAUUAAUUUUGGAGAUUAAUGAUAAAAGUUGCAUUUUCCCCCUGA